Molecule: long non-coding RNA, 353 nt
Organism: Ostrea edulis (European flat oyster)
Lineage: Eukaryota; Metazoa; Mollusca; Bivalvia; Ostreida; Ostreidae
Exons: 4
Source: RefSeq, a predicted model, not a curated record
AAUCCAAUCAACCAUGAACAUGAAAGCGAUCAGUAUCGUUUUUUUCCUGUCUGUGAUAGUUGGAACCGUGUCAGGUGAUUUACCGAACUUCUUUGUUCGUCAGUGGUAUGGCAAUGCCUUCCGUCCCCGGAGCCCAUUGUCCAAUCUGAGUCCCUACACCCGCGGUUACUAUAACGGGCCGCCAUAUGGCUUCAGUUCCGGCCAGUCGUCCUCCAUGGAGUUCGAUUAAAGAUAUAUCCACUCAGCCAAUGAGAAAAGACGUCCAGGCGUCCUUACCCCGAUUUGUACUUCCGAAUUUUGUCUGUUAAACUGAAGUUAAUUUAUCAAUAAAGUAACUCUACGUUUUUGUACAU